UCAAAGGCUCUUUUCAGAGCCACCCCACAGUCUCGGAGAAAGGGCU
This is a non-coding RNA of Sarcophilus harrisii (Tasmanian devil), 46 nucleotides long. The record is from Rfam. NCBI's taxonomy places the organism in Eukaryota, Metazoa, Chordata, Mammalia, Dasyuromorphia, Dasyuridae.